This 618-nucleotide ribosomal RNA is filed under the name uncultured Actinomycetes bacterium. RNAcentral's name for it is "bacterial SSU rRNA". It matches the Rfam family "Bacterial small subunit ribosomal RNA", at positions 556 to 1174 of the family's 1533-position model. The record is from RNAcentral. Lineage: Bacteria; Bacillati; Actinomycetota; Actinomycetes.
GGGCGUAAAGAGCUCGUAGGCGGUUUGUCGCGUCUGCUGUGAAAAUCCAAGGCUCAACCUUGGACCUGCAGUGGGUACGGGCAGACUAGAGUGCGGUAGGGGAGAUGGGAAUUCCUGGUGUAGCGGUGGAAUGCGCAGAUAUCAGGAGGAACACCAAUGGCGAAGGCACAUCUCUGGGCCGUAACUGACGCUGAGGAGCGAAAGCGUGGGGAGCGAACAGGAUUAGAUACCCUGGUAGUCCACGCCGUAAACGGUGGGUACUAGUUGUGGGCCACAUUCCACGUGGUCCGUGACGAAGUUAACACAUUAAGCACCCCGCCUGGGGAGUACGGUCGCAAAACUAAAACUCAAAGGAAUUGACGGGGGCCCGCACAAGCGGCGGAGCAUGCGGAUUAAUUCGAUGCAACGCGAAGAACCUUACCAAGGCUUGACAUAUAGAGGAAACGUGCAGAAAUGUACGCCCCGCAAGGUCUCUAUACAGGUGGUGCAUGGUUGUCGUCAGCUCGUGUCGUGAGAUGUUGGGUUAAGUCCCGCAACGAGCGCAACCCUCGUCCUAUGUUGCCAGCACGUAAUGGUGGGAACUCAUGGGAGACUGCCGGGGUCAACUCGGAGGAAGGU